This 1983-nucleotide unclassified non-coding RNA is filed under the name Hevea brasiliensis (rubber tree). Lineage: Eukaryota; Viridiplantae; Streptophyta; Magnoliopsida; Malpighiales; Euphorbiaceae. The record is from RNAcentral.
AAGACAAUAGUUAUUUUCAAUGAACGAGAGAUAAUUUCAACUGACAGAUUGAAUAUUCGAAUCUCAUUGUGGACGCAACACCCCUGUUAGUCUUCUAGUCCUCCCAAAAAUUCAGCAAAAGAAAUCUACUGAUCCCACACGAGUAAUAUGCUCAUGGUCAAUAGAUACUGCUAGAUCAUCAAAUGAAUAGUGAGACAUACAAUAAUAAAGGAACAAUAUUGAUAUAUGAGUUCGAUUUCAUUACAAGGAUGCAAAUGACAAGCAGCUAAAGGUGCCACAUUGUCAUUAAAAUCAGACGUCCGCCCUCUGUUUACUGUCCCCUUUCUUUCCUCCAUUCUCAGAUACUGUUUCAACAGCUACUCCAUAACUCGAGAAUGAUAUUUGGACUCACUUUCUCUUCAAUAGUCUGGACAACUGCACUUCAAUUUAAAACACAUUGCAGCUCAACUCUACUACUAGAUAGUCUUUGAAGGUUCAUAGUGCUUUUCUGACAGGCGGAGAUAGCAAAAGUUUUCAACCUGCACAUUUAACCAUCUGGUCACUUUCAGGAUCAGUGGAAACACUCCUUGUAUACAUCAUUGUCGUGGAACCCAAUAUGUCAUCUCCAAAACCACAUGCUUUGAAGAACAACCUAACAAAAGUUCAGGUAAAUUUUGGUUACCAGCUAAGCUUUUCAUGUACAUGAAUAUAAAUAUCUGAGCAUGCCUACCGAGAAAAAAAUUUGCAACCCAUGCUCCUUCUCUAGUUGCAGUGAGUUCUAUUUGCCAAAGGCAACUAGAAGAAGCAGAAGGGAACUUUUGAAAAUAUAUUUGUGGGAUGCACAAGAUAUAAAUGAUAAUUCAUGUGAAUAUUCAUCAUGGACGAGCAACCUUCAUAAAAUUAACUAGCUGCCAUGAAUUUGAGGCUUCUGUACAUUUACCUCUCAUUGGCAGAGCAAAGGGCUGCAAUAUCAUAAAUUUCUCUAUUUGUGAGCAUUCUGGCAGGAGAAAAGGUAAAUGUCAGACUUCAGAUAUGGUUCUUUUCAUUUUGUAUUAUUAUAUAAAGGGUGGGGGAGAGGAUGUUGCGAAGUCGGUGAGCAUUUGCCUACAAGAAAUGAUACAUAGAUUAAAUGGAUAGGUUUCCAGCGAUCACAAGGAUGAUAAAAGAAAAAUACUUAGUUGUUUUAAAGAGGCCAAAAUAGGUGGAUGCAUUGGAGCAAGCAAACAAGGUAUCAACUCAAGAUGGGCUAUGUAAUACCAAUUUGAACAUACAAAAAUAUGUUGGCACAAACAGCAAGGAAAGUAUUAAGAAAGUGCAAAUCAAAAUCUAAAAUUUAAUAAGCAUUUAGGAGAAGAAGAUAAAUGAUGAAUAACCUUAUAAUUCUUUUAACUAUCAUCUUCCCGAUUCCCAUUCUCCGCAGUGAAGGUACAACCUGGGAAGCACAUGACAUCGUAGAUGGAAGCAGUCAAUCCGAAAUCAGAAACUGCGCGGCCAAAGCCGACUAGUUGGCUGUUGGAGGGAGAGACAACAGGAAGAUGAAGAGGCAGAGGCGUCACUCUCCGCAACAAAUCUCCUAAACCCAUAAGAGGAGGAGAAGGAGGGUCUUCUUCAGGCUGGUUAUUAUCAACAACUGCAUCCUGUAAAUUGCAGAAGACGGAGACGAGAACAGAGCUGUGGGAGAGAGCAAGGCGAAGCUUCUUCAAAUCAACUGCUUCUACUAGCUUUCCAUUAUGGUCGAUCGCUGGAAACCGGUGGCACGAGUGAUUGCAGGUUGUGCAGAGUUCUCUCAGGUCCUGUGGGUUUAUGUCAGACGGAUUUGUAGAUAUGUAAAUGGGAAUUCUUCUAGAUUUUAACUUCGAUGACAAUCUCUUCCCAUAAUCUUUUGUGGUUGCCCAUCUUACUUCCAUGGUCUUAAUAUCAUAUCCUCCAGCAGCACCUUUCAUCUGCAUGGCCACAGCAGCAACUUCCAUCUUUCCUUGUCUAUGCCUUCUCUGUGGCUCGGUG